UNUGACUUGAGUGCAGAAGGGGAGAGUGGAAUUCCAUGUGUAGCGGUGAAAUGCGUAGAUAUAUGGAGGAACACCAGUGGCGAAAGCGGCUCUCUGGUCUGUCACUGACGCUGAGGCUCGAAAGCGUGGGUAGCGAACAGGAUUAGAUACCCUGGUAGUCCACGCCGUAAACGAUGAGUGCUAGGUGUUAGGCCCUUUCCGGGGCUUAGUGCCGGAGCUAACGCAAUAAGCACUCCGCCUGGGGAGUACGACCGCAAGGUUGAAACUCAAAGGAAUUGACGGGGGCCCGCACAAGCGGUGGAGCAUGUGGUUUAAUUCGAAGCAACGCGAAGAACCUUACCAGGUCUUGACAUCCCGAUGCUAUUCUUAGAGAUAGGAAGUUACUUCGGUACAUCGGAGACAGGUGGUGCAUGGUUGUCGUCAGCUCGUGUCGUGAGAUGUUGGGUUAAGUCCCGCAACGAGCGCAACCCUUAUUGUUAGUUGCCAUCAUUAAGUUGGGCACUCUAGCGAGACUGCCGGUAAUAAACCGGAGGAAGGUGGGGAUGACGUCAAAUCAUCAUGCCCCUUAUGACCUGGGCUACACACGUGCUACAAUGGUCGGUACAACGAGUUGCGAGCCGGUGACGGCAAGCUAAUCUCUGAAAGCCGAUCUCAGUUCGGAUUGGAGGCUGCAACUCGCCUCCAUGAAGUCGGAAUCGCUAGUAAUCGCGGAUCAGCACGCCGCGGUGAAUACGUUCCCGGGCCUUGUACACACCGCCCGUCACACCACGAGAGUUUGUAACACCCGAAGUCGGUGAGGUAACCUUUUAGGGG
RNAcentral lists this ribosomal RNA (813 nucleotides) under uncultured bacterium. RNAcentral describes it as "bacterial SSU rRNA". It matches the Rfam family "Bacterial small subunit ribosomal RNA", at positions 636 to 1448 of the family's 1533-position model. The record is from RNAcentral.